AUUGAACGCUGGCGGCAUGCCUUACACAUGCAAGUCGAACGGUAACGGGCCUUCGGGUGCCGACGAGUGGCGAACGGGCGAGUAAUACAUCGGAACGUGCCCGAUCGUGGGGGAUAACGAGGCGAAAGCUUUGCUAAUACCGCAUACGAUCUACGGAUGAAAGCAGGGGACCGCAAGGCCUUGCGCGGACGGAGCGGCCGAUGGCAGAUUAGGUAGUUGGUGGGUUAAAAGCUUACCAAGCCGACGAUCUGUAGCUGGUCUGAGAGGAUGAUCAGCCACACUGGGACUGAGACACGGCCCAGACUCCUACGGGAGGCAGCAGUGGGGAAUUUUGGACAAUGGGCGCAAGCCUGAUCCAGCCAUGCCGCGUGCAGGAUGAAGGCCUUCGGGUUGUAAACUGCUUUUGUACGGAACGAAAAGCCUUCUUUUAAUACAGGAGGGUCAUGACGGUACCGGAAGAAUAAGCACCGGCUAACUACGUG
This 482-nucleotide ribosomal RNA is filed under the name uncultured bacterium. RNAcentral describes it as "partial 16S ribosomal RNA". It matches the Rfam family "Bacterial small subunit ribosomal RNA", at positions 30 to 507 of the family's 1533-position model. The record is from RNAcentral.